Molecule: ribosomal RNA, 410 nt
Filed under: Verrucomicrobiota bacterium
Lineage: Bacteria; Pseudomonadati; Verrucomicrobiota
Description: Verrucomicrobia bacterium partial 16S ribosomal RNA
Rfam family: Bacterial small subunit ribosomal RNA
Source: RNAcentral
UGGGGAAUAUUGCGCAAUGGGGGAAACCCUGACGCAGCGACGCCGCGUGCGGGAUGAAGGCCUUCGGGUUGUAAACCGCUUUUGAUUGGGAGCAAGCUUUCGGGUGAGUGUACCUUUCGAAUAAGCGCCGGCUAACUACGUGCCAGCAGCCGCGGUAAUACGUAUGGGGCGAGCGUUGUCCGGAAUUAUUGGGCGUAAAGGGUACGUAGGCGGUCUAUUAAGUCAGGUGUGAAAGCGUGAGGCUUAACCUCAUUAAGCACUUGAAACUGAUAGACUUGAGUGAAGGAGAGGAAAGUGGAAUUCCUAGUGUAGCGGUGAAAUGCGUAGAUAUUAGGAGGAAUACCGGUGGCGAAGGCGACUUUCUGGACUUUUACUGACGCUCAGGUACGAAAGCGUGGGGAGCAAACAGG